Molecule: ribosomal RNA, 354 nt
Filed under: uncultured bacterium
Lineage: Bacteria
Description: bacterial SSU rRNA
Rfam family: Bacterial small subunit ribosomal RNA
Source: RNAcentral
CUCUAUCAGCAGGGAAGAAGAAAUGACGGUACCUGACUAAGAAGCACCGGCUAAAUACGUGCCAGCAGCCGCGGUAAUACGUAUGGUGCAAGCGUUAUCCGGAUUUACUGGGUGUAAAGGGAGCGCAGGCGGUACGGCAAGUCUGAUGUGAAAGCCCGGGGCUCAACCCCGGUACUGCAUUGGAAACUGUCGGACUAGAGUGUCGGAGGGGUAAGUGGAAUUCCUAGUGUAGCGGUGAAAUGCGUAGAUAUUAGGAGGAACACCAGUGGCGAAGGCGGCUUACUGGACGAUUACUGACGCUGAGGCUCGAAAGCGUGGGGAGCAAACAGGAUUAGAUACCCUGGUAGUCCACGC